AGUGAACGCUGGCGGCAGGCCUAACACAUGCAAGUCGAACGGCAGCACGGCAGUAGCAAUACUGUGGGUGGCGAGUGGCGGACGGGUGAGGAAUACAUCGGGAUCUACCCUGUUGUGGGGGAUAACGUAGGGAAACUUACGCUAAUACCGCAUAAGAACUGAGGUUGAAAGCGGCGGACCGCAAGGCGUCGCGCGAUUGGAUGAACCGAUGUCCGAUUAGCUAGUUGGCGGGGUAAAGGCCCACCAAGGCGACGAUCGGUAGCUGGUCUGAGAGGACGACCAGCCACACUGGAACUGAGACACGGUCCAGACUCCUACGGGAGGCAGCAGUGGGGAAUAUUGGACAAUGGGCGCAAGCCUGAUCCAGCCAUGCCGCGUGGGUGAAGAAGGCCUCGGGUU
Molecule: ribosomal RNA, 399 nt
Filed under: uncultured bacterium
Lineage: Bacteria
Description: bacterial SSU rRNA
Rfam family: Bacterial small subunit ribosomal RNA
Source: RNAcentral